UAGGAAGUUACUAGAUUGUUUUUGUUGUUAUUAACCACAGGAAAAAAGGCUUAAAUUACACAUCAGUUAAAACGACGACAACAUUCUCCUCCACUUGUGCUCUACAGUGAGGGGCAGAUGAAUGGCCUUUGGCUGUUGCAGCAAAAUAGAGGCAGUCCCCAAAUGAAGAGCAAUUGUAUUCCUUUAAUUCAGUCAUAAAUCAACUCUCAAUUCUAUGAGAUUUUUCACAGAAGAACGGAGCGCCUCAAAAGUGGAUCAAGGCAGAAAUGGAUGUGGAAAUUAUCAUCCUGUACCUUUGAGGUAAAGAGGCUUCUACAGCUCUGGCAUGAGCUACCACAGGUCAUAACCAUUAGGAAAGAAACUGGAAUGUUACCAUGCCAGGCUUUGUAAGUAUUCUGUUAGUUCUCCUCUAUAUUGAUUAAAGUUCGUAAAGUCAAUACCUGGAACAGCCCAGAGGGAAAAUACUUUACCUGUUCUCUUACUUCCCAAGAUACCACAUUUAUUAUCUAAGUCGCACAGGUUAUCAGAUAAACUUGCAGGUUUUUGUUUUAUGAAGAAACAAUAAUCCCCAGGCUACUUUCCAGCAUCCUCUACUGUUACUCUACAAAAUCUUCCUUGGUGACAUCAUCCACUUCUCUGUCUUUGCUGGUUACCCGGUGCUGACAGCUGCUCCCUGCAAGGUGCAGGUGUCUCCUAACAAUCACUAACUCCGCCUGUCGAACACCGAACUCACAGCCCCGACCUCUACGCCCUGCAUCUCCUCCACCACUCCCUCGCUGAAUGGCAUCCCCACUUCUCCUAGCCGCCCCAGACACAAACCUUCGCAGUCACCUUUCAUUUCUCCCUCUCGCUCCACAGGGUGGCCCUAAGGUAACUCGUACCUCCUGAAAAUCUCAUGAGUUAGUUCCAGCAGGAGUUUCUCAUUCCAGCUCCUCAUCUCUCAUUGUAAUCCCUAAUCCAUUCCCCUACAAUGCUACCAGAGGGACCGUGCUAAAAUGUAAUUCCAGUUAUUUUAUCCCCCUAAAAACUAAAAUCUACCAAAUGGCUCCCAAUGCCAUCAGAAUAAUGCCAAGAAGCCUUAGGAGAGAAAAUGAGAUUCUUCACGAGGACCUUGCCCAUCUCUCUAGCCUGGUCCCA
RNAcentral lists this long non-coding RNA (1137 nucleotides) under Homo sapiens (human). Its description in RNAcentral is "HSALNT0302538". The record is from RNAcentral. Lineage: Eukaryota; Metazoa; Chordata; Mammalia; Primates; Hominidae.